RNAcentral lists this unclassified non-coding RNA (421 nucleotides) under soil metagenome. RNAcentral's name for it is "partial contains 5.8S ribosomal RNA, internal transcribed spacer 2, and large subunit ribosomal RNA". The stretch from base 1 to 120 matches the Rfam family "5.8S ribosomal RNA", at positions 35 to 154 of the family's 154-position model. The record is from RNAcentral.
GAUGAAGAACGUAGCGAAAUGCGAUACGUAAUGUGAAUUGCAGAAUUCAGUGAAUCAUCGAAUCUUUGAACGCAUAUUGCGCUCUUUGGUAUUCCGAAGAGCAUGCUUGUUUGAGUAUCAGUAAACACCUCAACCUCUUCUUGAUUUUUCAAAAGGAGGGUGGACUUGAGCUAUCCCAACAACCUUUACCGGUCGGCGGGCGGCUUGAAAUGCAGGUGCAGCUGGACUUUUAUCUGAGCUAAAAGCAUAUCUAUUUAGUCCUCGUCAAACAGGAUUAUUACUUUUGCUGCAGCUAACAUAAAGGAUAAUUGUCCUCUUUGCUGACUGAUGCAGGAUUUUACGACACUUUAUGUGUUGUUCAACACGAUCUCAAAUCAAGUAAGACUACCCGCUGAACUUAAGCAUAUCAAUAAGCGGAGGA